This 259-nucleotide ribosomal RNA is filed under the name uncultured bacterium. RNAcentral describes it as "partial 16S ribosomal RNA". It matches the Rfam family "Bacterial small subunit ribosomal RNA", at positions 524 to 776 of the family's 1533-position model. The record is from RNAcentral.
UACAGAGGGUGCAAGCGUUGUUCGGAAUUAUUGGGCGUAAAGGGCGCGUAGGCGGUGCGGUAAGUCACCUGUGAAAUCUCCUGGCUCACUGGGAGCUUGCAGGCGAAACUGCCGUGCUGGAGUGUGGGGAGAGGUGCGUGGAAUUCCUGGUGUAGCGGUCAAAAUGCGUAGAUAUCAGGAGGAACACCUGUGGCAAAAGCGGCGCACUGGACCACAACUGACGCUGAGGCGCGAAAAGCUAGGGGGGGAGCAAAACAGG